RNAcentral lists this ribosomal RNA (159 nucleotides) under Arthrinium sp. RNAcentral's name for it is "partial large subunit ribosomal RNA". It matches the Rfam family "Eukaryotic large subunit ribosomal RNA", at positions 99 to 261 of the family's 3401-position model. Lineage: Eukaryota; Fungi; Ascomycota; Sordariomycetes; Amphisphaeriales; Apiosporaceae. The record is from RNAcentral.
CGGGAACAGCUCAAAUUUGAAAUCUGGCCCUUGGGUCCGAGUUGUAAUUUGCAGAGGAUGCUUUUGGUGCGGUGCCUUCCGAGUUCCCUGGAACGGGACGCCUUAGAGGGUGAGAGCCCCGUACGGUUGGCCACCAAGCCUGUGUAAAGCUCCUUCGAC